GAUUAUGGCUCAGGACGAACGCUGGCGGCAUGCCUAAUACAUGCAAGUCGAACGAACACUUCGGUGUUAGUGGCGAACGGGUGAGUAACACGUAAGUAACCUACCUAUUAGACGAGGAUAACUACGGGAAACUGUAGCUAAAACUGGAUAGGUACGAAAGUAUUAAAAGUCCUAAUAGGACUACUAAUAGAGGGGCUUGCGUCGCAUUAGCUAGUUGGUGGGGUAAAGGCCUACCAAGGCGAUGAUGCGUAGCCGACCUGAGAGGGUGACCGGCCACACUGGGACUGAGACACGGCCCAGACUCCUACGGGAGGCAGCAGUAGGGAAUCUUCGGCAAUGGACGAAAGUCUGACCGAGCAAUGCCGCGUGAAGUGAAGAAGGUCUUCGGAUUGUAAAGCUCUGUUAUUAGGGAAGAAAGGCUAUUAGAGGAAAUGUUAAUAGCGUGACGGUACCAAAUGAGAAAGCCACGGCUAACUACGUGCCAGCCGCUGC
RNAcentral lists this ribosomal RNA (492 nucleotides) under uncultured bacterium. RNAcentral's name for it is "bacterial SSU rRNA". It matches the Rfam family "Bacterial small subunit ribosomal RNA", at positions 15 to 518 of the family's 1533-position model. The record is from RNAcentral.